This 616-nucleotide ribosomal RNA is filed under the name Boletaceae sp. Its description in RNAcentral is "LSU rRNA". It matches the Rfam family "Eukaryotic large subunit ribosomal RNA", at positions 103 to 715 of the family's 3401-position model. RNAcentral also lists the same sequence under 1 other name. The record is from RNAcentral. Lineage: Eukaryota; Fungi; Basidiomycota; Agaricomycetes; Boletales; Boletaceae.
AAGAGCUCAAAUUUUGAAUCUGGCGGUGUUUGGCCGCCCGAGUUGUAAUCUAGAGAAGCGUUUUCCGCGCUGGACCGUGUACAAGUCUCCUGGAAGGGAGCGUCAUAGAGGGUGAGAAUCCCGUCUUUGACACGGACUACCAGUGCUAUGUGAUGCGCUCUCAACGAGUCGAGUUGUUUGGGAAUGCAGCUCAAAAUGGGUGGUAAAUUCCAUCUAAAGCUAAAUACAGGCGAGAGACCGAUAGCGAACAAGUACCGUGAGGGAAAGAUGAAAAGAACUUUGGAAAGAGAGUUAAACAGUACGUGAAAUUGCUGAAAGGGAAACGCUUGAUGUCAGUCGCGUUGGCUAGGGAUCAACCUUGCUUUUUCUGCUGGGUGUACUUCCUGGUUGACGGGUCAGCAUCAGUUUUGGUCGCUGUACAAGGGUAAGGGGAAUGUGGCACUCUUUGGAGUGUGUUAUAGCCUUUUGUCGUAUGCAGUGGGUCAGGACUGAGGAACUCAGCACGGCUUAGGCUUGUGCUUAGGAUGCUGGCAUAAUGGCCUUAAGCGACCCGUCUUGAAACACGGACCAAGGAGUCUAACAUGCCUGCGAGUGUUUGGGUGGUAAACUCGGGCGC